Molecule: ribosomal RNA, 439 nt
Filed under: uncultured bacterium
Lineage: Bacteria
Description: partial 16S ribosomal RNA
Rfam family: Bacterial small subunit ribosomal RNA
Source: RNAcentral
CUACGGGGUGCUGCAGUGAGGAAUAUUGCACAAUGGAGGAAACUCUGAUGCAGCAACGCCGCGUGGAGGAUGACGCAUUUCGGUGUGUAAACUCCUUUUAUAUGUCAAGAAAAUGACGGUAGCAUAUGAAUAAGCACCGGCUAACUCCGUGCCAGCAGCCGCGGUAAUACGGAGGGUGCAAGCGUUACUCGGAAUCACUGGGCGUAAAGGACGUGUAGGCGGGAUAUCAAGUCAGGUGUGAAAUCCUACAGCUUAACUGUAGAACUGCACUUGAAACUGGUAACCUAGAGUAUGGGAGGGGGAGAUGGAAUUAGUGGUGUAGGGGUAAAAUCCGUAGAUAUCACUAGGAAUACCUAAAGCGAAGGCGAUCUCCUGGAACAUUACUGAUGCUAAGGCGUGAAAGCGUGGGGAGCAAACAGGAUUAGAUACCCGGGUAGUC